Molecule: long non-coding RNA, 788 nt
Filed under: Nicotiana benthamiana
Lineage: Eukaryota; Viridiplantae; Streptophyta; Magnoliopsida; Solanales; Solanaceae
Description: long non-coding RNA (NBEN_LNC023906)
Source: RNAcentral
GAAGGCUUUUUUGUAAAUAUAUUGAUAAGAUAGCUUGGUAUCCAAACAUAAAGAAUUAUGAUCCUUCUUGUGUACAUAAGAAAUUGGGUGGGUAUAGGUCAUAUAAAAAGAAGUGUUUCCUCGAUCAUAAAAUAAAAAAAGAAAAAGCAGACAGGAAGAGUUUGAUUCUUUAAACAAGCAGGUUUGGCUUAUAUUUUAGCACCCUAACUCUCUUGUUUGCUUUGAUACUAUGAAAUAAAAUAGAGAAAAAGACCUUCAAGAGAAUAAAUAAAUAAAACCAUUUUCAAGAGACAAACUCCAGUGAACCCCUUUCCUCCCAUUCAUUGCCCUUUGAAAGAAGUCAAAAUAAAAAAAGAAUCUAACGCUCUAGUCGAAUUGAAGACUUUCAACGCUCAUGCUAUUUGAAAGAGCUUUCAACAUGGAGUGGAGACUCCAUAACGUACACAAAGAGUAAGCGAUCUAUGAAUAUCAUCCCAAUUCAGGUCUUGUUCCGCACUUAAAUGGAUAACUCAAACCCUUACCUUGACCAGUUUGUAGUGGAAAACCUCAAUGACAUAAUCGUUUAUAGUCACGAAUUCCAGUGAACCCCUUACCUCCUAUUCAUUGCCCUUUGAAAGAAGUCAUAAUAAAAAAAGAAUCUAACGCUCUAGUCGAACUGAAGACUUUCAAGGCUUAUCCUAUUUGAAAGAGCUUUCAACAUGGAGUGGAGACUCCAUAACGUACACAAAGAGUAAGCGAUCAAUGAAUAUCAUCCCAAUUCAGGUCUUGUUCCGCACUUAAAUGGAUAA